CCUACGGGUGGCAGCAGUAGGGAAUAUUGCUCAAUGGGCGAAACCCUGAAGCAGCAACGCCGCGUGGAGGAUGAAGGUCUUCGGAUUGUAAACCUCUUUUGUUAGGGAAGAUAAUGACGGUUUCUAAUGAACAAGCACUGGCUAACACCGUGCCAGCAGCCGCGGUAUUACGGAGGGUGCACGCGUUACUCGGAAUCACUGGGCGUAAAGGGCGCGUAGGCGGGAUGGCAAGUCAGAUGUGAAAUCCUAGGGCUUAACCAUGGAACUGCAUUUGAAACUGUUAUUCUAGAGUAUGGGAGAGGAUGGUGGAAUUCUUGGUGUAGGGGUAAAAUCCGUAGAGAUCAAGAGGAAUACUCAUUGCGAAGGCGA
Molecule: ribosomal RNA, 369 nt
Filed under: uncultured bacterium
Lineage: Bacteria
Description: partial 16S ribosomal RNA
Rfam family: Bacterial small subunit ribosomal RNA
Source: RNAcentral